This 729-nucleotide long non-coding RNA is filed under the name Phoenix dactylifera (date palm). RNAcentral describes it as "long non-coding RNA (PDAC_LNC018883)". The record is from RNAcentral. Lineage: Eukaryota; Viridiplantae; Streptophyta; Magnoliopsida; Arecales; Arecaceae.
GCAAUGAGAAAAAAACAAUAUCUUGGUAUAAAUAAUUAAAUAUUGUUAGAUAAUUAUAUAACUUUGCCGAUAAAACAAAUAACUAAACUGAAGAACAUUUCAGAACAGCUGAUCUGAUCACUCGACGGUUUAAACCAACAAAUUGUUUAUGAGAACCCAUGCGGGCAUGUGUUCAAUAUUACAUCUUCUAUUCGCUGGAUAGAUCUUGGGUACUUAUACAGAACCAAGAAACACAAAUAAUACCUUUUAGUUAGCCUUUUUGGGUGAGAUGCUGGAUUGUGACAAAUGGUAUCAGAGCAAACCUGCCUCGUGAGCUAUGUGGACUAGAGGACACUGUAGGACGAGUUUAUGAAAGCUGACUACAGGCCGAUUGUGGUGUUUGCGAUUAGAUUUGAAUGGAUUUAAAUUCUUAGCUUGGCAAGAACGCCAGAGCUUAAAUGAAGGAAGUAUAUGAAGAUCCAUGUGGAUAUGUGUUUAGUCCCACAUCGGUUAUUUGCUGGAUAAAUCUUGAAUAAUUAUACAUGACCAAAAAAUUCAAAUAAUACCUUCUAGCCUACCUUUUUGGAUGUGGUCCUAGGCUGUGACACUCUCCACGUUUAAAUGAACAGUGAUGGUGACACAUUGACACACAUCCAAAACCAAGAAGAGCAUGAAAAGGAAAUGCCACAACUAGAAAGAAAGUAAUUCACAAGUUCUGUUUAAGACUCAUGGAAUUCACAUGUUCCAUGG